GGACAGCCAGUGCAGCAGCACGUGCUCCCCGUGCCCUGCACCCUGCUCGUCAGCAGGGAGCAGGCGGUGCAGCCCUUCGGAGAUGCCGUGGUGCUCACGGAGGACCAGGGGCACCCAGCAACCACCAACAUGUGCCCCCAUCCCACGUCGGCUCCGCUCACCUGCAGCACCGCAGCGCUGGAAUCAGGUGCAGCGACAACGAGCUCAAACAUCCCAGAGGACAUCAGUGACAUCAAUGACCUCCUGAGUUGGAUGAACAACGAAGUGGCACCCAAAACAGAGGU
This is a non-coding RNA of Meleagris gallopavo (turkey), 284 nucleotides long. Lineage: Eukaryota; Metazoa; Chordata; Aves; Galliformes; Phasianidae. The record is from RefSeq and is a predicted model, not a curated record.